UUAAAUGGCCGCAGUAUUUUGACUGUGCAAAGGUAGCAUAAUUAUUAGUUUUUUAAUUGAAAGCUUGUAUGAAGGGUUGGACGAGAUAAAAUCUGUCUUUAUUUAAAUUACAAUAGAAUUUAACUUUUAAGUCAAAAGGCUUAAAUGUAUAUAAAAGACGAGAAGACCCUAUAGAUCUUUAUUUAAUUAAUAUUUUGAUAAUUUAAGAUUAUUUUAGUUUAAAGUUUUAAUUAAAUUUUAUUGGGGUAAUAUAAAGAUUAAAUAAAUUCUUUUUAUUUAUUACAUUGAUUUAUGAAUAUAUGAUCCAAUAUUAUUGAUUAUAAGAUUAAGUUACCUUAGGGAUAACAGCGUAAUUUUUUUGGAGAGCUCAUAUCGAUAAAAAAGUUUGCGACCUCGAUGUUGGAUUAAAAAUUAGCUUGGGUGCAGAAGCUCAAGAUUUUGGUCUGUUCGACCAUUAAAUUUUUACAUGAUCUGAGUUCAGACCGGCGUAAGCCAGGUCGGUUUCUAUCUUUAUUUAUCUAAAAUAUUUUAGUACGAAAGGACCAAAUAUUUAAUAUAAUUAUAUUUAUUUUUUGAAUAAUAUU
RNAcentral lists this ribosomal RNA (584 nucleotides) under Cicindela transversalis. RNAcentral describes it as "partial 16S ribosomal RNA". It matches the Rfam family "Bacterial large subunit ribosomal RNA", at positions 1923 to 2739 of the family's 2925-position model. The record is from RNAcentral. Lineage: Eukaryota; Metazoa; Arthropoda; Insecta; Coleoptera; Carabidae.